UGACAACUAACAAGUUAGCUUAGCUUAAUGAAAAAAAAUCCAUAUUCAAUGGUAACCUUUAUAUUCUUAACUCUUGCUGACAAUGUGACUUUUGCCUCAAAGGAAAAGAAGAAGGUGCAGAGCCAGGUAGUAGUUGAUCAAGAUAAUACAUUUGGGUCUAGGCCAGGCACUGGUUGUCAACGUCUUUCAAGUAGGAGCUUGAUUGGAGGCUUUAGCAAUCCAACCCCUUUAAACAGAAGGCUUUCUGUCAGUAUCCAACAGCUACGAACAAACAGCAUCAAUUCUGCAACUCAA
RNAcentral lists this unclassified non-coding RNA (294 nucleotides) under Hevea brasiliensis (rubber tree). Lineage: Eukaryota; Viridiplantae; Streptophyta; Magnoliopsida; Malpighiales; Euphorbiaceae. The record is from RNAcentral.